UCGAGCGAGCUUGCCUAGAUGAGUUUGGUGCUUGCACCAGAUGAAACUAGAUACAAGCGAGCGGCGGACGGGUGAGUAACACGUGGGUAACCUGCCCAAGAGACUGGGAUAACACCUGGAAACAGAUGCUAAUACCGGAUAACAACACUAGACGCAUGUCUAGAGUUUAAAAGAUGGUUCUGCUAUCACUCUUGGAUGGACCUGCGGUGCAUUAGCUAGUUGGUAAGGUAACGGCUUACCAAGGCAAUGAUGCAUAGCCGAGUUGAGAGACUGAUCGGCCACAUUGGGACUGAGACACGGCCCAAACUCCUACGGGAGGCAGCAGUAGGGAAUCUUCCACAAUGGACGCAAGUCUGAUGGAGCAACGCCGCGUGAGUGAAGAAGGGUUUCGGCUCGUAAAGCUCUGUUGGUAGUGAAGAAAGAUAGAGGUAGUAACUGGCCUUUAUUUGACGGUAAUUACUUAGAAAGUCACGGCUAACUACGUGCCAGCAGCCGCGGUAAUACGUAGGUGGCAAGCGUUGUCCGGAUUUAUUGGGCGUAAAGCGAGUGCAGGCGGUUCAAUAAGUCUGAUGUGAAAGCCUUCGGCUCAACCGGAGAAUUGCAUCAGAAACUGUUGAACUUGAGUGCAGAAGAGGAGAGUGGAACUCCAUGUGUAGCGGUGGAAUGCGUAGAUAUAUGGAAGAACACCAGUGGCGAAGGCGGCUCUCUGGUCUGCAACUGA
Molecule: ribosomal RNA, 721 nt
Filed under: uncultured bacterium
Lineage: Bacteria
Description: bacterial SSU rRNA
Rfam family: Bacterial small subunit ribosomal RNA
Source: RNAcentral